GAUCCUGGCUCAGGAUGAACGCUAGCGACAGGCUUAACACAUGCAAGUCGAGGGGCAGCAUAAAGUAGCAAUGCUUGGUGGCGACCGGCGCACGGGUGAGUAACGCGUAUGCAACCUACCUAUCAGAGGGGAAUAACCCGGCGAAAGUCGGACUAAUACCGCAUAAAACAGGGGCACCGCAUGGUGAUAUUUGUUAAAGAAAUUCGCUGAUAGAUGGGCAUGCGUUCCAUUAGGUAGUUGGUGAGGUAACGGCUCACCAAGCCGACGAUGGAUAGGGGAACUGAGAGGUUGGUCCCCCACACUGGUACUGAGACACGGACCAGACUCCUACGGGAGGCAGCAGUGAGGAAUAUUGGUCAAUGGGCGGGAGCCUGAACCAGCCAAGUCGCGUGAAAGGAAGAAGGAUCUAUGGUUCGUAAACUUCUUUUGCAGGGGAAUAAAGUGCAGGACGUGUCCUGUUUUGUAUGUACCCUGAGAAUAAGGAUCGGCUAACUCCGUGCCAGCAGCAGC
Molecule: ribosomal RNA, 510 nt
Filed under: uncultured bacterium
Lineage: Bacteria
Description: bacterial SSU rRNA
Rfam family: Bacterial small subunit ribosomal RNA
Source: RNAcentral